AAUAUUGCACAAUGGGGGAAACCCUGAUGCAGCGACGCCGCGUGAGUGCAGACGUAUUCCGGUAUGUAAAGCUCUAUCAGCAGGGAAGAAAAUGACGGUACCUGACUAAGAAGCCCCGGCUCACUACGUGCCAGCAGCCGCGGUAAUACGUAGGGGGCAAGCGUUAUCCGGAUUUACUGGGUGUAAAGGGAGCGUAGGUGGUUCGGCAAGUCAGAUGUGAAAGCCCGGGGCUCAACACCGGGACUGCAUUUGAAACUGUCGUACUAGAGUGCAGGAGAGGUAAGUGGAAUUCCUAGUGUAGCGGUGAAAUGCGUAGAUAUUAGGAGGAACACCAGUGGCGAAGGCGACUCUCUGGACUGCAACUGACGCUGAGGCACGAAAGCGUGGGGAGCAAACAGG
Molecule: ribosomal RNA, 399 nt
Filed under: uncultured bacterium
Lineage: Bacteria
Description: partial 16S ribosomal RNA
Rfam family: Bacterial small subunit ribosomal RNA
Source: RNAcentral